GUGGGGAAUAUUGGACAAUGGGCGCAAGCCUGAUCCAGCAAUGCCGCGUGGGUGAAGAAGGCCUUCGGGUUGUAAACCGCUUUUGUCAGGGAAGAAAUCCUUUGGGUUAAUACCUCGGAGGGAUGACGGUACCUGAAGAAUAAGCACCGGCUAACUACGUGCCAGCAGCCGCGGUAAUACGUAGGGUGCGAGCGUUAAUCGGAAUUACUGGGCGUAAAGCGUGCGCAGGCGGUUUUGUAAGAUCGAUGUGAAAUCCCCGGGCUCAACCUGGGAACUGCAUUGGUGACUGCAAGGCUGGAGUGCGGCAGAGGGGGAUGGAAUUCCGCGUGUAGCAGUGAAAUGCGUAGAUAUGCGGAGGAACACCGAUGGCGAAGGCAAUCCCCUGGGCCUGCACUGACGCUCAUGCACGAAAGCGUGGGGAGCAAACAGGAUUAGAAACCCGGGUAGUCC
RNAcentral lists this ribosomal RNA (450 nucleotides) under uncultured bacterium. RNAcentral describes it as "bacterial SSU rRNA". It matches the Rfam family "Bacterial small subunit ribosomal RNA", at positions 354 to 796 of the family's 1533-position model. The record is from RNAcentral.